UACAGAGGUGGCAAGCGUUGUUCGGAAUUACUGGGCGUAAAGGGCGCGUAGGCGGCCUACUAAGUCAGACGUGAAAUCCCCCGGCUUAACCUGGGAACUGCGUCUGAUACUGGAAGGCUUGAGUAUGGGAGAGGGAUGUAGAAUUCCAGGUGUAGCGGUGAAAUGCGUAGAUAUCUGGAGGAAUACCGGUGGCGAAGGCGGCAUCCUGGACCAUUACUGACGCUGAGGCGCGAAAGCGUGGGUAGCAAACAGG
RNAcentral lists this ribosomal RNA (253 nucleotides) under uncultured bacterium. RNAcentral describes it as "partial 16S ribosomal RNA". It matches the Rfam family "Bacterial small subunit ribosomal RNA", at positions 524 to 776 of the family's 1533-position model. The record is from RNAcentral.